UGUUCUCCUUGUGGCUGCAGCAGCCGCACUAAGACACUGGCCACACCUGGUUUCUCCACAGCCGCUGCAGCCACGAGGAGAAGGCCACCCUCUCGCGUUCAAACACAGGUGCACCCACCGUGGAACCACAGCCACAGUGGAGCUGUGGAAUGUGCCCGUCACCCACAGCCCGCCUCUGAGUCACUGCCGUCACCCACAGCCCUGCCCCGACCCACAGCCUGCGUCUCAGUCACUGCCCAUCACCCACAGCCCUGCAUCUCAGUCACUGCCCGUCACCCACAGCCCUGCCUCUCAGUCCCUGCCGUCACCCACAGCCCUGCCUCUCAGUCACUGCCCGUCACCCACAGCCCUGCCUCUCAGUCACUGCCCGUCACCCACAGCCCUGCCUCUCAGUCACUGCCCGUCACCCACAGCCCUGCCUCUCAGUCCCUGCCGUCACCCACAGCCCUGCCUCUCAGUCACUGCCCGUCACCCACAGCCCUGCCUCUCAGUCCCUGCCGUCACCCUGGCUGCUCCUGGAGUUGCACAGAAAUGGAAUUGUGUGCUUGGAUGCCUCCGUGCCCAGCCCCUGUCCCUCCGCGAUUCCUCCUUGCUGCUUUGCGGAGCAGUUGUUGGCCGCUCACAGCUGGGCAGGGCCCGUCCUGGCAACAGACCCCUCCUGCUGCGGUGGUUCCCUCGGUGGUGGACGGGGCUGUCGGCACAUUUUAGCUGUCACCAAUAAAGCUGCUGUGAACAUCCCUGUACACGUCGUUGUGUGGAAUGAGUUUGGUGUGUCUUAGGGAACUCCUUGGGAGUGGAAUGCCUGAGUCACCAGGGCUUCUCUCUGUCGCCCAGGCUGGAGUACAGGGAUGCGAUCUUGACUCACUGCAGCCUCAACCUCCUGGACUCAAGCCAUUCUCCCCCCUCAGCCUCCCCAGUAGCUGGGACUACAGGCGCCCACCACCACGCCCGGCUAAUUUUGUAUUUUUUGUAGAGACUGGGGUUUCUCCACCUCAUCCAGACUGGUCUUAAACUCCUGGGCUCAAGCAAUCCACCCACCUCAGCCUCCCACCGUGCUGAGAUUAUAGGCAUGAGCCACCGCGCCUGGCCUAUUUUCUUAGAUUUAUCCCUAAGUAAUACAUUUUCUUUGAUGCUAUUGUAAGGCCUUUCUUUGAUGCUACAAUAAGUCCUUUUAAAUUUCUCAUUUUCCAGUUAUUCACUUUCACUGCCAGAAUAUGCGAUGGGCUCUCGGGUAUGCAGUGUGCCAGUCAGCCCCACCCUGACACAGCGGAGCAGAGAGAGACGGUCCUGACGGAGCAGGCCAGGGAUCAGCACCGCCCACUGGGCCUCUGACCCCUCUGACCCAUGACCUCCAAGCCCUGCGGUCAGUCUGUGCCCAGGCCCAGUCUGUGCUGGAGCCCUCCCUGCAGCCCCCUCUGGCAGGACUUCAGAGGGAUCCCCAGCUCCUGGCCCACAUGGCCGCAUCUGGCCCAAACACACAUUCCUUUCGCCACUCUCCUCUGAAUGGAAUCUGGCUUGCCCCGCACAGCCUCUGCCUCCCUCUGCCCCGCACAGCACCCUCCCUCCCUCUGCCCCGCAUAGACCCUCCCUCCCUCUGCCCCGCACAGCCCCCCUCCCUCCCUCUGCCCCGCACAGCCCCCCUCCCUCCCUCUGCCCCGCACAGCCCCCCUCCCUCCCUCUGCCCCGCAUAGACCCUGCCUCCCUCUGCCCUGCACAGCCCCCUCCCUCCCUCUGCCCUGCACAGCCCCUCCCUCCCUCCACCUCACACAGGCCCCCUCCCUCCCUCUGCCCCACGCAGACCGCCUGCCUCCCUCUGCCCCGCACAGGGAUCCUGCAGGUUCAGGGUGGAGUGGCCUAGCCCAAGCCCUCAGCCUUUCCUUGUGAGUCUGGGUGACUUCUGAAGGGGCUGAGAACCGCUUAGUGGUCUGGACCCUCCCUUGGGGGCUUAUGAGCCAUCACACCUCGGUCCUGCCAUGGAGACCUCCGGCUGACAUCUCCUCAGAGCCUCCCUGGUGUCCAGAGCCCCAGCAGGCAGUGCUAAGCCGGCCACACUGAAGGCCAGGAGGCAGCGCACGGGGACGCUGGAGGAGCACCUGGUGAGCUGGGAGGCGAGGCCCUGGGACGGGACAAGUAGCAGACGUCUCAGCGCACACAGGCUCCUGCCGGACCCGGAGGGGCUCUCUGUUCCAUGUGGUCCUCCAGGGAUUCGGGCUCCUUGGCCCUGAGGGCUCUGCCCACCUAGCACCUUGGGGCUGUUCCUUGAACCCCCUGCCCCCUAGGGUGGGGACAGGAAUACGUAUUACUUAGGGAUAAAUCUAAGAAAAUAGGCCAGGCGUGGUGGCUCACACCUGUAAUCCCAGCACUUUGGGAGGUCGAGGUGGGUGGAUUGCCUGAGCCCAAGAGUUUAAGACUGGCCUGGGCAACAUGGUGAAACUCCCGUGUAGACCGUCUCUACAAAAAGUACAAAAAUUAGCAGCUGGGCGUGGUGGGAGCUGGGCCGAGGGUCAGGCCUGGAGGUGGUGCCCAUCACUGGGUCCCGCUCAAGAGAGAAGAGGCUGGGAAGCCAGGUGCAGCUGUGUGCCCACAGGCGGGUGAGACAGGACUGGGCCUGGAUCCCGCACCCGCUCGCCGCGCAGCUCAGCGCAAGCGGCCUCCGGGGGCCUCCUCUCUGCAAGGGGAGCGCGCGCCCGGCCCUGACCCUGCCUGCUGAUUCUCUGGAAGGUUCAUGUCCGGGACUCCUCGGUGACCCUGGGCAGAGCCACCCACAUGCGCUGCCUCCCCUCCCACCGCCUGACAGGUCUGGAGAUGCCCAGAGACUUCUGGCAUCCACCAGCAGCGAGGAGCGUCCCUCCCGCAAGGCUUGGCCUUUCCCCUCCAGCUUUGGCACAGGACGCGUUGGUCUGCCGUUUCUUUUGUGCACAACCAUCAGUCAUGAUGUCAGCCCUGAGCUGGGGCCACAGAACCCUGAGCAAAGUGGGACAUAAUGGAAAGCAAACAAAAAAGAAAGAAAAUGAUGGUUUCAAACUAAAAACCUGAGUUCACAUAGCGAUAGAUUUAAAACUAUUUUAGAAAACACUCAUUAUCUCCCUGGCCUAUUUUUUAUUAAAUUGACCAAAUCUGUGGAUACUCAAUUGCUUGUGAUGACUGCAAGCGCGCAUCCGAGUCCCCAGGGAGGCAGCUUCCCUUCGCUCUUCGCCAGCGCCCCUCAGUCCUAACUUUGAGGAGGGCACACGUGAGAUUUCCUUUUACCAACAGAGAAUCUCCAAAUCCAGCCUUUUACCAGAAGCCUCUCCGAGAAACUGGGGUGAGUAAAUCGCCGCUGCUGCUGCCACCUUCAGAGAGGCCUUGGGCGCCCGCCCCGACAGCCCCAC
This 3371-nucleotide long non-coding RNA is filed under the name Homo sapiens (human). Its description in RNAcentral is "HSALNT0404699". Lineage: Eukaryota; Metazoa; Chordata; Mammalia; Primates; Hominidae. The record is from RNAcentral.